CGAGUGGCGGACGGGUGAGUAAUGUCUGGGAAACUGCCUGAUGGAGGGGGAUAACUACUGGAAACGGUAGCUAAUACCGCAUAACGUCGCAAGACCAAAGAGGGGGACCUUCGGGCCUCUUGCCAUCAGAUGUGCCCAGAUGGGAUUAGCUAGUAGGUGGGGUAACGGCUCACCUAGGCGACGAUCCCUAGCUGGUCUGAGAGGAUGACCAGCCACACUGGAACUGAGACACGGUCCAGACUCCUACGGGAGGCAGCAGUGGGGAAUAUUGCACAAUGGGCGCAAGCCUGAUGCAGCCAUGCCGCGUGUAUGAAGAAGGCCUUCGGGUUGUAAAGUACUUUCAGCGGGGAGGAAGGUGUUGUGGUUAAUAACCGCAGCAAUUGACGUUACCCGCAGAAGAAGCACCGGCUAACUCCGUGCCAGCAGCCGCGGUAAUACGGAGGGUGCAAGCGUUAAUCGGAAUUACUGGGCGUAAAGCGCACGCAGGCGGUCUGUCAAGUCGGAUGUGAAAUCCCCGGGCUCAACCUGGGAACUGCAUUCGAAACUGGCAGGCUAGAGUCUUGUAGAGGGGGGUAGAAUUCCAGGUGUAGCGGUGAAAUGCGUAGAGAUCUGGAGGAAUACCGGUGGCGAAGGCGGCCCCCUGGACAAAGACUGACGCUCAGGUGCGAAAGCGUGGGGAGCAAACAGGAUUAGAUACCUGGUAGUCCACGCCGUAAACGAUGUCGACUUGGAGGUUGUGCCCUUGAGGCGUGGCUUCCGGAGCUAACGCGUUAAGUCGACCGCCUGGGGAGUACGGCCGCAAGGUUAAAACUCAAAUGAAUUGACGGGGGCCCGCACAAGCGGUGGAGCAUGUGGUUUAAUUCGAUGCAACGCGAAGAACCUUACCUACUCUUGACAUCCAGAGAACUUUCCAGAGAUGGAUUGGUGCCCUUCGGGAACUCUGAGACAGGUGCUGCAUGGCUGUCGUCAGCUCGUGUUGUGAAAUGUUGGGUUAAGUCCCGCAACGAGCGCAACCCUUAUCCUUUGUUGCCAGCGGUUAGGCCGGGAACUCAAAGGAGACUGCCAGUGAUAAACUGGAGGAAGGUGGGGAUGACGUCAAGUCAUCAUGGCCCUUACGAGUAGGGCUACACACGUGCUACAAUGGCGCAUACAAAGAGAAGCGACCUCGCGAGAGCAAGCGGACCUCAUAAAGUGCGUCGUAGUCCGGAUUGGAGUCUGCAACUCGACUCCAUGA
This 1234-nucleotide ribosomal RNA is filed under the name Enterobacter cloacae. Its description in RNAcentral is "bacterial SSU rRNA". It matches the Rfam family "Bacterial small subunit ribosomal RNA", at positions 92 to 1323 of the family's 1533-position model. The record is from RNAcentral. Lineage: Bacteria; Pseudomonadati; Pseudomonadota; Gammaproteobacteria; Enterobacterales; Enterobacteriaceae.